GGGCGUGUGGCUCAGUGGUAGAGCGUCCGCUUUGCAAAUUUUCGCGCUAGUCCUAUUGCAGAGAAUUAAACAAUUGCGGAAGGUCCGGGUUUCGGUAAGUCUAUAUUCGCUCCAAAGGUCGAGCCCACUCGCUAACA
Alternaria arbusti is the source of this 137-nucleotide non-coding RNA. The record is from the annotation of a RefSeq genome assembly. Lineage: Eukaryota; Fungi; Ascomycota; Dothideomycetes; Pleosporales; Pleosporaceae.